ACGGGAGGCAGCAGUGGGGAAUAUUAGGCAAUGGGGGCAACCCUGACCUAGCAACGCCGCGUGAAGGAAGAAGGCCUUCGGGUUGUAAACUUCUUUUAUAGGGGACGAAACAAAUGACGGUACCCUAUGAAUAAGCCACGGCUAACUACGUGCCAGCAGCCGCGGUAAUACGAAGGUGGCAAGCGUUGUCCGGAUUUACUGGGUGUAAAGGGCGCGUAGGCGGGAUGGCAAGUCAGAUGUGAAAUCCAUGGGCUCACCCCAUGAACUGCAUUUGCAACUGUCGUUCUUGAGUGUCGGAGAGGCCAGCGGAAUUCCUAGUGUCGCUGUGAAAUGCGUAGAUAUUAGGAGGAACCCCAGUGGCGAAGGCUGCUUGCUGGACGAUAACUGACGCUGAGUCGCGAUAGCGUUGUGAGCAAACAGGAUUAGAUACCCUGGUA
This 437-nucleotide ribosomal RNA is filed under the name uncultured Oscillospiraceae bacterium. RNAcentral's name for it is "partial 16S ribosomal RNA". It matches the Rfam family "Bacterial small subunit ribosomal RNA", at positions 341 to 792 of the family's 1533-position model. Lineage: Bacteria; Bacillati; Bacillota; Clostridia; Eubacteriales; Oscillospiraceae. The record is from RNAcentral.